Molecule: non-coding RNA, 3344 nt
Organism: Oncorhynchus mykiss (rainbow trout)
Lineage: Eukaryota; Metazoa; Chordata; Actinopteri; Salmoniformes; Salmonidae
Source: RefSeq, a predicted model, not a curated record
UUUUCAUUAUAUUUUUUUUUUACGUUUACCACGACAGCUUGUGUGGUUUAAAAUCAAGUCAAGUUGUCAGCUUUGACACGGUAGUGCAACAUGCUAGCUAACGUUAACUAACUCGCUAGCACAAGGCCUGCAAACUGUAGCUAGCAGAGUCAAAAGGCUGUUAGUAACAAUAGCUUGCUAAUGAAAUCUUGACUGUCAAGAUUAUCCAUGUCACUGGCAAGUAAACGGCCCUCUAAUUGAUGUUAGCUAGCUAACUGGCUUGUUAGUUUAGCAACACCCCUUUCACCUGGUUAACACAACCACAGUCAUAAUUAUCGAUCAACUCCGCCCAUUGCCACAAUUUCUCUAAUUAACAUUUCAUGUUAAACCUAACCUUGAUUAACCACAACCUUAAAUUAGGACCAAAAAGCAAGUUCUUAUUGUUAAUUUUGACUUUGUGGCUAUGGAAUCUGAUUUAGUACCUGUUGUCUAAAGUUGGUCAGUGGAAACCCGUUCACCAAUCAUUUUAUUCUACCGUUCUGAACAGGAAGACCAAUUUAGCAGACAGUUUUGUCCUGUGCUUCGGACCUGUUAUUUACGGUGUCUGGAUCAGACUCGGCAACCAGGUUCAGGACAGUUCAUUUGUACAAGGUGACAACUUGACCUCUAAUGACCCUUCAGUGACACUUCUAUCACCCUCUGACCUACACUACAUGACAAAGUUGAAAAUCAUCCAAGAGGUCGUCUCCCCAGCGGUGAUGUUUGUGGCGUAGGCUCAGGGUGUGUCUCACCUCCCAUGGUGUUACCACCAUGGACCCAGAGUCAGCCCGCACAUCACAGCCCCAGGGCUCCCUUGGAAAAAGUGGGGUCUCCCUGCUAUCUGGCAGGGGUUUGGGGGCAGCUCUCACCCCUCGAGGGAAACACUAUGCGUGUGGUUCCAUAGCUGCCUUCACCAACAUCAUGGUGACAUUCCCGAUCCAGAAAGUUCUGUUCAGGCAGCAGCUGCACGGUGUGCGGGCCAGAGAGGCUGUCGGGCAGCUCCAACGGGACGGGAUGAGGAACCUCUACAGGGGGCUGCUCCCUCCUCUUCUGCAGAAGACCACCACGGUAGCCAUCAUGUUCGGCUUGUAUGAGGACUUCUCCCAUGUCUUACUGGACCAGUUGUCCACAGGCAGCGGCAUUCCUGAGCUAGUGACGCGGAGCUUCGCAGCUGCGCUGGCGGGCACAGCAGAGGCUGCCCUGAUGCCGUUUGAGCGGGUGCAGACUCUCCUCCAGGACCACCGGCACCACGGCCGCUUCCACAACACGGCCCACACCUUCCGGACGCUCCUAAGAGAGUACGGUGUGAAGGAGUGCUACCGCGGCCUGGUGCCAGUCUUAAUAAGAAACGGUCCCAGUAACAUGCUGUUCUUCGGGCUCCGCGGGCCCAUCAAGGAGCAGCUCCCUGAAGCCUCCAGCCGGGCCGGCCACCUGGUCAAUGACUUUGUGUGUGGAGGGGUGCUAGGGGCGGCGCUGGGGAUCAUGUUCUACCCGCUGAACGUGGUGAAGUCCCGUGCCCAGUCCCAAGUUGGUGGAGCGUUCCGGCCUUGUGGGGAGGUGUUAAUGACGGUUUGGCGGGAGAGAGGCGGCAGCGUGGCCAUGCUGUUUAGAGGGGCCCACCUCAACUACCACCGCUCCCUUCUCUCCUGGGGCAUCAUCAACGCCACGUACGAGCUGCUGCUCAAAGUGUUCUGAUACCGAACGGGGGAUAGAAAGAGGGGAAGGUGUAGAAAGGGGGAGCGAGAGAAAAAAUGAAAGACUUGCGUAAGUGUUUGAGGGUGAGGAUGAACGCAAUUUUUCUUCCUGGGGUCCGUAUAGUACAUCAAUAGACAAGAAAAGCUCAAGGAUAGAACUACAUUAAAAAAAGGCACCUAUAGCAUUUCUAUCAAUGCAUACACACUAACUAUCUCUGUCAAAUAGGGGAGAGGCGUUGUGACGCGAGGUAUUGCUUUAUCUGGUUUUUGAAUUGAUGCUGUCUCUUGUGUUUGGCACUUGAAACUGAUGUGCCCACUGCCCACCCAAUAAGGUCCAGAUAGUUUAUGUGGGGGGGUAAGUGUCUACGGCAAGCAGAAGAGGACAGAGGGUAUCUGAAAGGUGACGUUUCUCUACUGACAAUGGCCAUCAGUGUGAGAUGAAUUGCCGCUUGUUUAAAGUUACAGUAUCAAAGUGAGAGGUCUGGGUCCAACGAAAGCCUUCAUUCUUUUUUUUAUUUUUAUAAAUGUAUCAAUUGAAAUGGAUUUGACAAAUGAUUGGCAUUCUGUAAGUACCUUUCCCAUUGUAGUCGGAUGUGGUACCCAACAAAGUUUCAGAGGCAGUUUCACAGGGGGUAAGCCUUUUCAGUGACCAAGAGCACCUCUUAAAGAACUGUUCAGUGUUUUGACCAGUGUUUCUGUGUGCAUUGAUUAUUAGUCCCUUCGACCCCUGCUUUCCCUGCUCUGAUUCUCGGACUGUGAGCUCUGCUAUUUACCAUGUCGGUCAUCUUGGAUUAUGCAUAGAUUCGACCCUCUGCGGCGUACGAUCCUAGCGGCUUGCAGUGUACGACCCUAGCGGCUUGCGACCCUAGCGGCUUGCGGCGUACGACCCUAGCGGCUUGCGGCGUACGACCGUAACUGUGUUUGUCCUGUAGGUAUAGCGCUCGCCAGCUUGUAGUCCUAAAACACAGAAAUUAGGUACCUCUGGUUCGUUCAGCCAUUCCUAUGGGGAAUGAAUAUGGUUUGGAUUUUACACAGGCUUAGAAGAUCUUUUACGUUGUGUUCUAUGCAAUAUUAUCAGUCCGUUAACAGGACCUUUAUGAAUUAUGAAGACUGAUUUUUUUAUUAAAUAAAUGCAUCAAAAUUAACAAGUGACAUUAGCUGAUGAAGAUUAUCCCAUAGAACAAAAUUACAAAUCUCCUAAGCCUGUGUAUAUCACAGACCUUUAUCCAAAAACUCUACAAAACAUUUAUUUUGCCAUGGUUCGUUGGACAAAGCCUGAGUUAGUGCCUACCAAAAUCCGUUGUUACUGUUGCUCUCUAUAGUGCUCUCUUUUACUUGAAAGAUGAUUGGUAAAAGCAGUAGCUUAGAAGCACAGGGGAACUGGACUAGGGAAGUGCUUCAUUGUUAUGUCAUCCAAUGCCAAUCUAAGCAUAUCUUGAAAAUGUUUGUCAAAUGUGUGUUUAAUUAGCAUAUUCCCGAAGUGCUACUUGUAGUGUUUGUCUGUCAAAGUGUUGACAAGUACCCAUUGGUUUAAGUAUAAUUAAAAUGUACUUGUUACCCAUAACUUCUAGUCCUUCAUGAAAUAGACUGAAAAAAUAAUAAUAAAAAAUUCACACCAACAAUACAGGAACA